RNAcentral lists this ribosomal RNA (496 nucleotides) under uncultured bacterium. Its description in RNAcentral is "partial 16S ribosomal RNA". It matches the Rfam family "Bacterial small subunit ribosomal RNA", at positions 29 to 507 of the family's 1533-position model. The record is from RNAcentral.
AUGAACGCUGGCGGCGUACCUAAUACCUGCAAGUCGAGCGAACAGACGAGGAGCUUGCUCCUCUGACGUUAGCGGCGGACGGGUGAGUAACACGUGGAUAACCUACCUAUAAGACUGGGAUAACUUCGGGAAACCGGAGCUAAUACCGGAUAAUAUAUUGAACCGCAUGGUUCAAUAGUGAAAGACGGUUUUGCUGUCACUUAUAGAUGGAUCCGCGCCGCAUUAGCUAGUUGGUAAGGUAACGGCUUACCAAGGCAACGAUGCGUAGCCGACCUGAGAGGGUGAUCGGCCACACUGGAACUGAGACACGGUCCAGACUCCUACGGGAGGCAGCAGUAGGGAAUCUUCCGCAAUGGGCGAAAGCUUGACGGAGCAACGCCGCGUGAGUGAUGAAGGUCUUCGGAUCGUAAAACUCUGUUAUUAGGGAAGAACAAAUGUGUAAGUAACUAUGCACGUCUUGACGGUACCUAAUCAGAAAGCCACGGCUAACUACGUG